Molecule: non-coding RNA, 636 nt
Organism: Procambarus clarkii (red swamp crayfish)
Lineage: Eukaryota; Metazoa; Arthropoda; Malacostraca; Decapoda; Cambaridae
Source: RefSeq, a predicted model, not a curated record
CAUCUACAUACACCCACCUACAUCUGCCCCAUCUACAUACACCCACCUACAUCUGCCCCCAUCUACAUACACCCACCUACAUCUGCCCCCAUCUACAUACACCCACCUACAUCUGCCCCCAUCUACAUACACCCACCUACAGACACACCAAUGUAUGUUAUAUCAAAAACAUACAGUUGAGUUCCUUCUCUCAUAGUGAAUAACAAAAUAUUCGUGAUGAUUUCACAGCGAGUCACGUCUGUGAUUCCUGGUGCCAUACCGGGGCUCCUCCGUCAGGUACCAGGGCUCCCCCGUCAGGUACCGGGGCUCCUCCGUCAGGUACCGGGGCUCCUCCGUCAGGUACCGGGGCUCUCCCGUCAGGUACCGGGGCUCCGGAGCCUGCAGGCUGACGCACACAUAAUGGAGCCUAAGUGUGCUUGUAUUUCUUCUAAGUCGUUAGAUUUAGGUCAAUGCAUGAAUACAUAAUGGUAUAUGUUGUUUCCUCAGAUUGAUUCAUUCCAUGUAUCAUGAUAUUUAUUGCAGUGUGUGUAUGUAUAUGUAUCAAAGCUUUAUCUGUGUGUAAAUAAAAUUAUUUGCUCUUCAUUUCUGUAUAAAAACAAAUGUGCAAUUUUAUCUCAAAUAGAUGUUCAAAUCUUA